CCAAUAGCGUAUAUUAAAGUUGUUGCAGUUAAAAAGCUCGUAGUUGAAUUUCGGGAUCAGUACGCUGGUCGUGCCUUCGGUAUGUACUGGUGUCACUGAUUCCUCCCUUCUGACGAACCGUUAUGCCAUUUAUUUGGUGUGGCGGGGAAUCAGGACUGUUACUUUGAAAAAAUUAGAGUGUUUAAAGCAGGCUCGCGCUUGAAUACAUUAGCAUGGAAUAAUGAAAUAGGACGUUUGAUUCUAUUUUGUUGGUUUCUAGGAUCGACGUAAUGAUUAAUAGGGAUAGUUGGGGGCAUUAGUAUUCAAUUGUCAGAGGUGAAAUUCUUGGAUUUAUUGAAGACUAACUACUGCGAAAGCAUUUGCCAAGGAUGUUUUCAUUAAUCAAGAACGAAAGUUAGGGGAUCGAAGACGAUCAGAUACCGUCGUAGUCUUAACCACAAACUAUGCCGACUAGGGAUCGGAUGAUGUUAAUUUUUUUAAUGACUCAUUCGGCGCCUUACG
Molecule: ribosomal RNA, 501 nt
Filed under: uncultured Glomeromycotina
Lineage: Eukaryota; Fungi; Glomeromycota
Description: partial small subunit ribosomal RNA
Rfam family: Eukaryotic small subunit ribosomal RNA
Source: RNAcentral